AUACGGAGGGUGCAAGCGUUACUCGGAAUCACUGGGCGUAAAGCGCGCGCAGGCGGCCAUUUAAGUUGGAUGUGAAAGCCUACGGCUCAACCGUAGAACUGCAUCCAAAACUAUUUGGCUAGAGUGUGGGAGAGGAAGAUGGAAUUAGUUGUGUAGGGGUAAAAUCCGUAGGGAUAACUAGGAAUACCAAAAGCGAAGGCAAUCUUCUGGAACAUUACUGACGCUGAGGCGCGAAAGCGUGGGGAGCAAACAGGAUUAGAAACCCGAGUAGUCC
RNAcentral lists this ribosomal RNA (274 nucleotides) under uncultured bacterium. Its description in RNAcentral is "partial 16S ribosomal RNA". It matches the Rfam family "Bacterial small subunit ribosomal RNA", at positions 523 to 796 of the family's 1533-position model. The record is from RNAcentral.